UUGGUAUGACAUCAUACAGCCUUAUAUGACUUCUUAUUUUGUCAAAUAUAUGUUUUAGAGGCAUAAAUCACUUCAUAUUAAUUUAUAUUAACAUAAAUGACUCUCGAUUACUUAAUAAAACUACAUAAAUAAUAGCUAUUGCUUCUUCUUCUUAACGAUAUUGCUGAAAUUAAGCUUUUUUUUUCUAUCAGUGCAACAUGAAGUAAUAAUACUAUUAUGAAAAAUCAU
This 228-nucleotide long non-coding RNA is filed under the name Elaeis guineensis (African oil palm). RNAcentral's name for it is "long non-coding RNA (EGUI_LNC060242)". The record is from RNAcentral. Lineage: Eukaryota; Viridiplantae; Streptophyta; Magnoliopsida; Arecales; Arecaceae.